GAGGCAGCAGUAGGGAAUCUUCCGCAAUGGACGAAAGUCUGACGGAGCAACGCCGCGUGAGUGAUGAAGGCCUUCGGGUCGUAAAACUCUGUUGUUAGGGAAGAACAAGUAUCGGAGUAACUGCCGGUACCUUGACGGUACCUAACCAGAAAGCCACGGCUAACUACGUGCCAGCAGCCGCGG
This 183-nucleotide ribosomal RNA is filed under the name uncultured Bacilli bacterium. Its description in RNAcentral is "partial 16S ribosomal RNA". It matches the Rfam family "Bacterial small subunit ribosomal RNA", at positions 345 to 520 of the family's 1533-position model. Lineage: Bacteria; Bacillati; Bacillota; Bacilli. The record is from RNAcentral.